CAGUAGCCGCGGUAACACGAAGGGUGCAAGCGUUACUCGGAAUUACUGGGCGUAAAGCGUGCGUAGGUGGUGGUUUAAGUCCGUUGUGAAAGCCCUGGGCUCAACCUGGGAAUUGCAGUGGAUACUGGGUCACUAGAGUGUGGUAGAGGAUAGUGGAAUUUCCGGUGUAGCAGUGAAAUGCGUAGAGAUCGGAAGGAACAUCUGUGGCGAAGGCGACUAUCUGGGCCAACACUGACACUGAGGCACGAAAGCGUGGGGAGCAAACAGGAUUAGAGACCCCUGUAGUCCCUGUCUCUUAUAC
RNAcentral lists this ribosomal RNA (301 nucleotides) under uncultured bacterium. RNAcentral's name for it is "partial 16S ribosomal RNA". It matches the Rfam family "Bacterial small subunit ribosomal RNA", at positions 509 to 807 of the family's 1533-position model. The record is from RNAcentral.